GGCCGGUUAGCCCAGUUGAGUGUGGCGCUGACAACGCCAAGGUCGCGGGUUCGAUUCCCGUUCGGUCC
This 68-nucleotide transfer RNA is filed under the name Apaloderma vittatum (bar-tailed trogon). It matches the Rfam family "tRNA". Rfam says of the family: Transfer RNA (tRNA) molecules are approximately 80 nucleotides in length. Their secondary structure includes four short double-helical elements and three loops (D, anti-codon, and T loops). Lineage: Eukaryota; Metazoa; Chordata; Aves; Trogoniformes; Trogonidae. The record is from Rfam by way of RNAcentral.